Molecule: ribosomal RNA, 440 nt
Filed under: Flavobacterium hercynium
Lineage: Bacteria; Pseudomonadati; Bacteroidota; Flavobacteriia; Flavobacteriales; Flavobacteriaceae
Description: bacterial SSU rRNA
Rfam family: Bacterial small subunit ribosomal RNA
Source: RNAcentral
UGAUCCUGGCUCAGGAUGAACGCUAGCGGCAGGCUUAACACAUGCAAGUCGAGGGGUAGAGUAGCAAUACUUGAGACCGGCGCACGGGUGCGUAACGCGUAUGCAAUCUACCUUUUACAGAGGGAUAGCCCAGAGAAAUUUGGAUUAAUACCUCAUAGUAUUAUAGAAUGGCAUCAUUUUAUCAUUAAAGUCACAACGGUAAAAGAUGAGCAUGCGUCCCAUUAGCUAGUUGGUAAGGUAACGGCUUACCAAGGCUACGAUGGGUAGGGGUCCUGAGAGGGAGAUCCCCCACACUGGUACUGAGACACGGACCAGACUCCUACGGGAGGCAGCAGUGAGGAAUAUUGGACAAUGGGCGCAAGCCUGAUCCAGCCAUGCCGCGUGCAGGAUGACGGUCCUAUGGAUUGUAAACUGCUUUUAUACGAGAAGAAACACUACUU